GCGGCCUAUCAGCUUGUUGGUGAGGUAAUGGCUCACCAAGGCAACGACGGGUAGCCGGCCUGAGAGGGCGACCGGCCACACUGGGACUGAGACACGGCCCAGACUCCUACGGGAGGCAGCAGUGGGGAAUAUUGGGCAAUGGAGGAAACUCUGACCCAGCGACGCCGCGUGCGGGAUGAAGGCCUUCGGGUUGUAAACCGCUUUCAGUAGGGAAGAAGCGAAAGUGACGGUACCUACAAAAGAAGCACCGGCUAACUAUGUGCCAGCAGCCGCGGUAAUACAUAGGGUGCAAGCGUUGUCCGGAAUUAUUGGGCGUAAAGAGCUCGUAGGUGGUUCGUUACGUCGGAUGUGAAAAUCUGGGGCUCAACCCCAGACCUGCAUCCGAUACGGUCGAGCUAGAGUUUGGUAGGGGAGACUGGAAUUCCU
Molecule: ribosomal RNA, 426 nt
Filed under: uncultured Actinomycetes bacterium
Lineage: Bacteria; Bacillati; Actinomycetota; Actinomycetes
Description: bacterial SSU rRNA
Rfam family: Bacterial small subunit ribosomal RNA
Source: RNAcentral